ACUCCUACGGGAGGCAGCAGUGGGGAAUAUUGCACAAUGGGCGCAAGCCUGAUGCAGCCAUGCCGCGUGUGUGAAGAAGGCCUUCGGGUUGUAAAGCACUUUCAGUCGUGAGGAAGGUGGUAGUGUUAAUAGCACUAUCAUUUGACGUUAGCGACAGAAGAAGCACCGGCUAACUCCGUGCCAGCAGCCGCGGUAAUACGGAGGGUGCGAGCGUUAAUCGGAAUUACUGGGCGUAAAGCGUACGCAGGCGGUUUGUUAAGCGAGAUGUGAAAGCCCCGGGCUCAACCUGGGAACUGCAUUUCGAACUGGCAAACUAGAGUGUGAUAGAGGGUGGUAGAAUUUCAGGUGUAGCGGUGAAAUGCGUAGAGAUCUGAAGGAAUACCGAUGGCGAAGGCAGCCACCUGGUCAACACUGACGCUCAUGUACGAAAGCGAUGGGGAGCAAACAGGAUUAGAUACCCUGGUAGGUGACAAU
RNAcentral lists this ribosomal RNA (474 nucleotides) under uncultured bacterium. RNAcentral's name for it is "bacterial SSU rRNA". It matches the Rfam family "Bacterial small subunit ribosomal RNA", at positions 335 to 803 of the family's 1533-position model. The record is from RNAcentral.